GAUGAACGCUAGCUACAGGCUUAACACAUGCAAGUCGAGGGGCAGCAUAUUGGUAGCUUGCUACCAAUGAUGGCGACCGGCGCACGGGUGAGUAACGCGUAUCCAACCUUCCCCAUAGUAGGGCAUAGCCCGUAGAAAUGCGGAUUAAUACCCUAUGUUUUCCGAAGAUGACAUCUGAUUUGGAACAAAGGUUCACCGCUAUGGGAUGGGGAUGCGUCUGAUUAGGUAGUCGGCGGGGUAACGGCCCACCGAGCCGACGAUCAGUAGGGGUUCUGAGAGGAAGGUCCCCCACAUUGGAACUGAGACACGGUCCAAACUCC
RNAcentral lists this ribosomal RNA (320 nucleotides) under uncultured Prevotella sp. RNAcentral's name for it is "bacterial SSU rRNA". It matches the Rfam family "Bacterial small subunit ribosomal RNA", at positions 28 to 339 of the family's 1533-position model. The record is from RNAcentral. Lineage: Bacteria; Pseudomonadati; Bacteroidota; Bacteroidia; Bacteroidales; Prevotellaceae.